Daphnia magna is the source of this 4001-nucleotide long non-coding RNA. RefSeq lists it as uncharacterized. The record is from RefSeq and is a predicted model, not a curated record. The transcript is spliced from 5 exons. Lineage: Eukaryota; Metazoa; Arthropoda; Branchiopoda; Diplostraca; Daphniidae.
UUCAAGUUUCGAGAUUUGGAGUUGGAGCAUGGUGUAAGAUUAUGAAUUUAUGACUCUUGUUGGAGUCUGUUGGAGUCUUGCCGGGUUGGAGCUGACUUGUAAGCAUGGUGUAAUAAAUUCUGAUUGCUACUUUUCUUUAAGCACGAUUUUGCUGGUAAGUGGUAACACGGCAAACAAACUUUAUAGAUAUAAGAUUCGGUUUCGGGCUGCCGCACACUAGAAAUCUCACUUGAAGAGUUUCUUUUUGGUCGCGCCUAUCGAGGGGCAAUAGACUUUUUGGCUAAUUACCCCUCAACUUUUGAGGGGCAAUAGACUUUUUUUGCUAUUGCCCCUCCUAAAAAUGCCAGAUGGCAUUGGUUACGGGGAAGGGUAGGCCUUCUGACUGUUUUUUCUUUUUUUUUAUUGUGUGAUACUACAGACUACGAAGUAAAGACCGCUAUCAUCGCCAUAAGGCUGAGAGAAAUCUAGUAGGCGAUGCCUAGUCUUACCGCUAGGGGCGCGGGAGUAUACUUUCUGAAAUGUUUCUACUUUUUCUAAUGUUAGUAGUACUGAAUACGUGCUUCACACACACGUAUUAGCGGGAAUUGUACUUAACUUUACGUCAUAAACUGUACACCUUAAUUUUCUAGAUCCCCUUCCUGUAUACUGUGAAUUAUUUCAAAAUUAUAUUCUAAUUCUUUGGUAUGGUAAUAAAAUUAUACAUUUACCCCCUCUUUUCCCUAUUUUUCAGAUCGUGAAACCCUGCACGGUGGGCUCUAUACAACUGAAAAAUAGGGAAAAAGAGGAGGUAGCCUUUAGAGGGAUUGAGUCAGAAUGCUAAAGGAAACCGGCCAGAAUGCUAGUGCGAAAAUACAAGCUAUGAACAAUGCCAGUUUAUUUAACCAAUGUAUCAGGAUUUUCAAAAUGUCACGAAAAAACCUUAUUUGAGUGUAUAUGUGAAAAUGCCCAUUUCCCUUGCUUAAAACUGGGCCACCUUGUCCUCCCAAAAUGAAACAUGCAAUAUUAUUGGAAAAGCUGGAGAUCAGCAUAGGUGGAAAAUUCUUCAACUACUUGUCAAUUCGCCGCCCAGUGAUAAAAAAGUGAGAUUCUUUACAAAUAUUCUACAUAAAUCUUUACAGAAAGAAGGAUUUAAAAAAAAGCCGGUGCCCGAAACUGCUAUUGAUUUCACAGAUCUCAGUCAAUGUCAAUCCUCGUAAGAGACUGAUGUUCCAGUCAAGGUAAAGGACCCAGCUUUGCUGUUUCGUGGCAUUCUAAUAACCAAGAACCAUAAGAACGUUCGCAGCCUUGGUAACAUUUAUUACCCCUUCCUAGCUGAUUGUAAAAUGACUGGUGCCAGCGUUGAUUAAGGAUCAAACCCUCCGAGAUGCCCAAAGUGGAUCACCGUCGUUGUAGUCCACCGUGUUUCCGAAAUUCAACAUUAAAGGUCAACUGACGCCGUAAUGAACUGCAGCCUUUUGUCAUCAUGUAUGGAGCAGUAUAAAAGACUUGCAUUACCGUUCCUCUUAAUGUAGGGUUGAGUAACACUGGCUAUGAAGAGAUUCAAAACGGAUACGGGCUCUGCGAGGCUGCCAAGACGAACUAAGCGGAAGACGGGUGGUACCUAGUGCCAAGUCAUGCCGUAGCAUUCGUGUGCCAUCGUCUCACAGAGUGCAUCCCCCUCAAGGAUCGUAGAUCUCGUAUCUGAUAGCGAUCUGGGAUGCACUUUCGUAGGGAGCACCCCCCGUCUGAAUCUCGGAAAGAGUCAGUGCCUCAUCCCUCGUUUUUAAAAUUGAACUUAGUAGUAUAGUAUUAAGGAUUAGUUUACUUAGUUUUAAGGAAGUGAAACAAGACAAAUUCCAAUAGCCCUGUUUGGUGCCGAAUGUUUCAAAUCAGUCAAUAAUUACUAGCAAAAAAAAAUUAGUAAGUAAAUUAACUUAUUAGUAAUGCUGAUUGAAUUUUUUACAAGCACACGAUUUUCGUCCAAUGAACACAAUUUUUCCUAGUGCGUUCAUUACACAUAGUAACUUGAGGUGGAGAUAUUAGCAUAACUCGCAUCACGCGAAACCUGCCAGAAGUUGUCAUAGAAUUGAAGGAGUACCAGGCGCUUACCGCCAAACAUGCUCUACAUGUUUCAUAGCGCAAGGGAUUUGUUUUUUGUUUUUGUUUUUUUCUUUUUUUUUUCUUCUCUCUUCUUCUGUUUUAAAUACGCCACACGGAGAAUUUCAGAUUCUAGUGCGAAAGAUCUAAAUUCAAGUUUUAUCUUAAGCUGAAAUAAGACGCUGAAUGUCGUAUGGAUAAUGUGAUAUUGAUAUAGAGGCGAAAGGAUGAUGUACAUGUGAUGCUAUUAUAGGGAAGUGAUAAAGGAUUUUUCAUCGUUUCAAGUUUUUGAAAAGUAAACUGUUGUGUUUACUUGAGUUAAAUUUAAUUAAAUGUAACGAUAGUUAGCAAUAUGGUACGAUGUCUUUGGCAAAGGAAAUCUUUGAAAUAAAACAUACACUGGUGAAAGAGAACAUCAGAAACAAUAUAAUAAUCAUGAGUGUCAAAGAAUGACAACUGCAACACAAAUCAUCCUGCAUGAUAUCUAACAAUGAUUUUGUUAUAGUAUUUCCUAUCCAAUUUUCUGCCGGAUGUCUUUGAUCGAUAAUUUGUAGGAUAAUACAGCUAUGGCUGAAAUAAUUGUAAAAAUUUUGACUACAUGAAAAGUUGACGGAAGCUGAAGUUCACUUUUUUCGCUAGACCAAUCCCAGCGUGCACUCCUCAGUUAUUAUGUGCUUGAUCUACUCACUUAUACUGUGUUAAGGCACAACAAAUAAAAAAAAAAAAGAAACACUCAGUUUAACUUGUAAAAGAUAAUCACAAACAAUAGAAGUAUCACAACGCCAUCUAUUUUUACUGUAAAAAAAUUUAAGCUCUUUAUAAGACCGACUUUUUAUUUAUUUUCGGAAGUAACCGGAAGUAGCCAAUAUCUCAAAAAAUUUCAAUCCCAUAAAAAAACGAGUAGGAUUUUCGUGAUCAUUAUCAAAUUUGGGUUGGGAAUGGCGUGUUUUAGCCAAAAGUUGGAUUUGACGAAAAUCGCGAUUUUUCAUGUUCAGGAAAAUUUGCGAUUUUUGACGAUUUUCGGGUAUUUUGUGCUGACCCAUAGAGUCGACAACAAAUUUGACGAGGAUCACGAAAUAUAAAUCUUUUUUUCUGACAGAUCAACAAAUAAAGAGUUAUUUGACAUUUUAAACCCGGAAGUAAAACCGGAAAUCGAAAUUUCAGAAACCCAAACAAUGACCCUUUUUUUUAAAUUGUUAAUAAGAUUUGUCUAGUUGCAAAGAUAGACCAAUAUAAUUAAAUGUUAACGGGGAUUGUUUACAUUUCUGAAAGUACAGGUUGGUUUACUAUCUACGUACGCUAUAAGGUUGCACAUUUAUGGCAAGCCAAAUGUUUAUCGACUGCUUUCGCAACAUAUCUUCUCAGUCCCUCGCUAUGAGUUUCUAAUGAUAACGUGACGCAUCCAAACUUUAUACCACUGAUGGCACAAUUGCACAUGACUCAUACGUGAUACAUUGAAUUUUAGUUUACGAUCCAAACACGUCACUUGUCUCGUUUAGUAAGUCUAAUCCUGUUCCCUAUGAACUAGUACGUUUAAAGCAAUUACCAUAAUUUUUUUUUCUAGGAAACCAAACGUUUCGCACACAGAGACCCCUAGGCAACCAUACAAAAAAAACUGAAAGAACAAAGAACGAACUUUUUGUUGUUGUUUAAGACGAAAAUGGUUUAAAGCGGGAUUCGCUAAAAAUCCUUACUUGCUGUCAAAUUAAAAUAACACGGCUAGUUCGUGGUCCCAUUCAAGCUAAAACAAUCAAAAGAUUGCUCGAGUUCCGAAUAGCCCAUCACCUGGAUUUACUGUCCUUUGUUUUUGUCAUACAAGGAAAAAGCAUUCUUGUUACAUAAGACAAGCGUUGGAACCGCAGAUAUAGAUCAGUUCCUCGUAAAAAUGAUAUACAGACUAUGCACAUGUUCCUAAUUCUGAUCUU